GAUGAACGCUGGCGGCGUGCCUAAUACAUGCAAGUCGAGCGAACGGACGAGAAGCUUGCUUCUCUGAUGUUAGCGGCGGACGGGUGAGUAACACGUGGAUAACCUACCUAUAAGACUGGGAUAACUUCGGGAAACCGUAGCUAAUACCGGAUAAUAUUUUGAACCGCAUGGUUCAAAAGUGAAAGACGGUCUUGCUGUCACUUAUAGAUGGAUCCGCGCUGCAUUAGCUAGUUGGUAAGGUAACGGCUUACCAAGGCAACGAUGCAUAGCCGACCUGAGAGGGUGAUCGGCCACACUGGAACUGAGACACGGUCCAGACUCCUACGGGAGGCAGCAGUAGGGAAUCUUCCGCAAUGGGCGAAAGCCUGACGGAGCAACGCCGCGUGAGUGAUGAAGGUCUUCGGAUCGUAAAGCUCUGUUAUUAGGGAAGAACAUAUGUGUAAGUAACUGUGCACAUCUUGACGGUUCCUAAUCAGAAAGCCACGGCUAACUACGUG
Molecule: ribosomal RNA, 497 nt
Filed under: uncultured bacterium
Lineage: Bacteria
Description: partial 16S ribosomal RNA
Rfam family: Bacterial small subunit ribosomal RNA
Source: RNAcentral